GACGAACGCUGGCGGCGUGCUUAACACAUGCAAGUCGUACGGUAAGGCCCUUUCGGGGGUACACGAGUGGCGAACGGGGGAGUAACACGUGAGUAACCUGCCCACCACUUUGGGAUAACGCUAGGAAACUGGUGCUAAUACUGGAUAUGUGCUCCUGCUGCAUGGGGGGGGUUGGAAAGCUCCUGCGGUUGUGGAUGGACUCGCGGCCUAUCAGCUUGUUGGUGGGGUAGUGGCCUACCAGGGCGGCGACGGGUAGCCGGCCUGAGAGGGUGACCGGCCACAGUGGGACUGAGAUACGGCCCAGACUCCUACGGGAGGCAGCAGUGGGGAAUAUUGCACAAUGGGCGCAAGCCUGAUGCAGCAACGCCGCGUGCGGGAUGACGGCCUUCGGGUUGUAAACCGCUUUCAGCAGGGACGAAGCUUUUUGUGACGGUACCUGCAGAAGAAGCACCGGCUAACUACGUG
This 465-nucleotide ribosomal RNA is filed under the name uncultured bacterium. RNAcentral's name for it is "partial 16S ribosomal RNA". It matches the Rfam family "Bacterial small subunit ribosomal RNA", at positions 28 to 507 of the family's 1533-position model. The record is from RNAcentral.